Molecule: long non-coding RNA, 1376 nt
Organism: Magnolia sinica
Lineage: Eukaryota; Viridiplantae; Streptophyta; Magnoliopsida; Magnoliales; Magnoliaceae
Exons: 3
Source: RefSeq, a predicted model, not a curated record
GCCUGCGAAGGAAGUCUAUGCGAAGAAGAGACCGCUAAUAAGGAAAAGGAGGGUUGUUGUGACAGGGAUGGGUGUGGUGACCCCAGUAGGUCACGAGCUAGAUGUGUUCUACAAUAACCUUCUUGAGGGAGUCAGUGGUAUUAGUGAGAUCGAAACAUUUGACUAUGCCUACUUUCCAACGGUACAUUUUACAAUCCACCUCUACUAUAAUAGGUUUGCAUAUGAACUAUUGGGUCCCUCGAUGCAUCAGGACAUAUGCCUUGCUGAUAUUCCAGUCCUUGGAAGUGUUGAUGCUUUUGUGAUCCAGGCCGUUUAUCUAAUGUGCCCAACUAUGGAUGGGACCCUAAGGCAUUAACCUUCAAUCAGUGGCCUACAAACUGACAGUUAAGAUAAGAUACAACAACACUCUAGAGAAAAAACAAAGGCUAAGGUAAGGGUCCAUUUGGACACACUUCCUCAAAGGGGGUUUCUCAAAAUGGAGGUUUUAAAACAUGCUAACUCUAGUUUCCUUGACUCUUUCAUCCAAGCUAACUUGCUCAUUUGGCUAUCUGAGCAUAGGGAUUGAAUUCCCACCAUAAAAAACUUUGAGAGUGAUUUCUCAAAAAUGCCUUUGGUUGGUCUAUCUGAGCGUGGGUUAGGUGAGGCAGGGUUAAUAGCUUAGUGGAUGAGGCCCUGACCAUGGGACCCGCCUUGAUGUACAUGUUGUAUAUCCACGCUGUUCAUCUGUUUUGCCACACAAGUGGGGAUUGAAUUCCCACCAUAAAAAACUUCUUGGGGUCUAUGAAAGUUUGGAUCAAGCUAUUAUUUGUGUUUUCCCUUCAUCCUAGUCUGUGUGAACUCAUCAACAGGUUGGAUGGCAAAUAAACAUUACUGUGGAUCUAGCAAAGUUUUCAAUGGUGGGUGUUCAAUCACCAUUGUUUUUCUGUCGUGUGGUACACCAGGGAUUUGUAUCUGCCUCAAUUUUCAAUGAUGAUUGGUAAUUGAGAAGUUGGAAUUGUUAUAGCUUUAUUAACCUCUAUGGUUAGUUGUUCUGAGGGAGAUGACUUCUUCACUGCAGGUUUAAAAGUAGGGCUGAUUCAAGUGGGAUCUACCAUCAUUUGAUAAAUGACUUCUUCACAGAAGGAAAUCACCGUUCAGCUGAUCAACUACACAAGGAGUGGUGUGGCCCCUAGAGAGUAAAUUGGCCUCAUUUUCAGGAAGGGUAAUCUUCAUGGUGGGCCUACUGUUUUCAUGUAAUGGAUGUCCUACACAAGUGACAUGCUAGCAGAAAGAUGGUAUGGCACCACAAGUUGCAGCAGGGAGGUAUAAAUGCAGCCUUUGGAAAUAUGACUGAAGAUGAUUGGAGGUAGCAUAUGGAUGACACUGUCAAAGGAAGC